CAUUUCUCAUAUUCUCACUUUCUGUUUUGAAAGAACCAUUUAAAAGGUGCUCUGUUUGUGCCAAAAUAUCUCUGAGGAUAUUUUGCUAUACAAUACAGCAAAGGUGUAUUGUAUACAGAGACUCUAAAGGUGGAGAAGCCGACUAAUAUAAUACUUCAGCUGAGUUUGGAAGUGGGACAGAAACCGUU
Molecule: long non-coding RNA, 188 nt
Filed under: Struthio camelus australis
Lineage: Eukaryota; Metazoa; Chordata; Aves; Struthioniformes; Struthionidae
Description: lncRNA (ENSSCUG00000015748.1)
Source: RNAcentral